CGCCACAACUGAAGCCUAUUUAAUCUGGAAGCUGAAACCCUACCAGUCUUUUCAUUGAUUGCACGCACUCCAGAAGGGGAAGGGAUGGGAAGCCGUCUUCAGAAUAUAGCGCUAAACCACUCAGCGUUUCAGUUAUCUUUACAGACGUGAUCUGUUGUUUUCAUAGCAGAUCAUAUGCCAUUUGGUGGGCACCAGUUUGAGUCAGAUGGUGGAUGAUGGCAGUGUUGGAGUUGUGGUACAAUGUUCCAGUGACGAUAGUGCUGCUGUGACACCACAUUCCGUUAUAACCACUUGAGAAAACGAGUGUGAGAAAGGGCCUCUACCAUCUGCAUCAAGCCGGGUUCAAGCUUGGAGAUGAAUAUAGUUGCAACUGUAACAAGACACUAUUGAGCCGUCUUGGUAAAAGUUGAUACCUGCAGGUAAUAAGCAAGACAAUGCACCCACCUGAUGGAGAUGAGGCCAGUGGAACAACUUCUGUUCUCCCUGAUGCCAAACUUGCUAAGAAAUGUUUGUCAUUUAAUUUGCCAUAUUGGAUCACUGACAGUUUUUCCAUCUGCCAGUAGUAGUCUUGUACAUAAUGUAUCCAAGCAGUAUCACUCUGCAUGCUGUACUUGCAAUGUGGCAGUGUGUGACAUUUUGUCUUUAAAGGGAAAACUACGCAGCUGUUGUUUAUUCACAAAUGUGACCGCAAACUGAAUUUUAGCUACUCUAUCAGAUUAAAUACUGUACAGAUUUUGUGCUGAAUUAAACUGGUGGGAACACUA
This is a long non-coding RNA of Monopterus albus (swamp eel), 764 nucleotides long. RefSeq lists it as uncharacterized. The transcript has 4 exons. Lineage: Eukaryota; Metazoa; Chordata; Actinopteri; Synbranchiformes; Synbranchidae. The record is from RefSeq and is a predicted model, not a curated record.